GUUUCGGUGGUCAUAGCGUGAGGGAAACGCCCGGUUACAUUCCGAACCCGGAAGCUAAGCCUUACAGCGCCGAUGGUACUGCAGG
RNAcentral lists this ribosomal RNA (85 nucleotides) under Streptomyces canus. The record is from RNAcentral. Lineage: Bacteria; Bacillati; Actinomycetota; Actinomycetes; Kitasatosporales; Streptomycetaceae. RNAcentral also lists the same sequence under 4 other names.